This is a non-coding RNA of Phasianus colchicus (ring-necked pheasant), 15892 nucleotides long. Lineage: Eukaryota; Metazoa; Chordata; Aves; Galliformes; Phasianidae. The record is from RefSeq and is a predicted model, not a curated record.
CGCUCCCGGAGCCCGCGCGGGGCUCACCUGGCGGCGGGCGGCGGCGGAGGGGAACGCGGAGGGAAAAGCGGAGCGCGGCGACGCAAACGCGCGGCGCGGCCCUCGGGGUCACGGGGGCAGGGCGAGGCCGGGCCGCUCCGUUCCGCGGCACCUGCGGAGCCCUCCGCGCGGCCCCGGCGCGGCGCUUCUCCGUCUCGGUCGCCCUAACUUUGUGCUCUUUCUAUUUCCCUUUCUUUCCUCGCUCCACGCGCUGCCGCAGCCCUCAGAGCGCCGCCGCAGCGGGAGCCAUCCCGCACGGAGCGGGGCUUCGGCUCCGUACGGCGGUCGACGGGCGCCGAGAGCGGCGAUCGGAGCGAGAGAGGGCACGGGACCCGCGGUCGCAGCCGGCGGGCAGCGCGGGGCCGGAGCCGAGCCGCCCGCGGGUCACGGCCGCAGCCCCGCGGGGCUCCGCGGGAUCCGAAGGGCUCCGCGCCCCGCGCUCCGUCCCGGCGCCGCACGCGGGAACGCGGCUGGCAGCCGCAGGUGCUGCGGAGCUGCGGACUCGGCGGGCGCAAAGCCGGGACCUCGGGGUGGGGGAUGCUCUGCGGCUCCGUUACACGGCGCUGCCCGAGCACGACGACCCGUGCCCGAGCUCCGGGAAGGGGAAAGGCGUCUGUCCCCGGUAAAAGGGUGCGAGCGCCUUCUGUGACCCCGAGGAGAAGGGCCGAGCUCCGGGCAGGGACGGGACGCAAGGCGCGGAACGGUCCCACAUUGCUGCUGAGGUUGGAUUUCCCGAGGAAUAAUAAUAAUAAUAACAAUAAUAAAUAAAGGCUUUCCUGCCUCGAACCUGACAAAGUAAACAGGAUUAAUUCGCCAUGUGCAAAAACAUUAAUACCGUCCUCAGCGCGGAAAUCAGAAGGGAAAGCGGUUUUCGCAGCACCCACGAUAUUAACACACGAUCGUAGCAAUGCAAAGCCACUGAUACACGCUCACACACCGCCGUGCCGCCGAUUGCUCGAGCAUUAACGAAGAAUGCCCCGCAUUAACUAUUUGCUCUUCGAGGGAUGGAGCGGUGUAACUCUCUACGAGCACCAUCCGCCGCUUUGCCAUUUGUUUGCAAGUGGGCUGAGGCAGAGCGGGUGAAGGGAAAAACGAACUACGGUUCAUUUUGCUAAAUCCUAUUUGAGACCCGAACGCCUCGCGAAGAAGGGGACGUUCUCCGCUGUCCUUCUCCGAGCCCCGUCACAAUAGAAAUGCUCUGUUUAGAAGUAAGGCUCUAUUGUUUUUAUUCCAAAUAAAUAAGCGCAUCCCUCCUGCCAUUUUACCGCAGAUGUAAAUUUAUUGUAAUGAGAGGGAGUGGAAGGAUUUAUUUUGCUAAAAUAGAGUUGGGGAUAGAGCCGGUGUAAAUCUUGGGGUUUUUUAAACAAGGAGGAAGAGAGGGAAGCUGCUUCCCUGGCAGAAAGCUGCCUUGCAGCCCUCUAAUUCUUCCUAGAUUAAAUCGCAAUAUGAAUAGAGCAUCGAACAAAUACCGAGUUUCGCUCUGAACUCAGUGGAAAGCAGUUACGUCUAACAGAAUUCAAUGAAUUCCUCUUCUCCCUCAAUGUAGUAUGUGUGUGUUUUUCUCUUCCACCACACUGAAGUUCCAUGAAUAGGGAAAGUGGCUCCUAUUGUGUGCCUCUGAACUUCCAAGUCAAUGCAAUUUUUAACCACUGGCUUGUGGUACUUUGAAAAUCACCAGGGGCUGUCAGAGUUGGGUCCUCUGAAAAAUUUACAGUGCUAAAUCAGAGCAUAUGCUGUGAGAGAGGAAAAAAAAUUGCUUAAGAUUGGAGCAAGUACAGUAUCUGGCUGCCCCCUAGUGUAAGUCUCUUAUCUGCCUAAAAUUCAACUUUAAAAGAAAAGGAUCUCUUAAAGGGAAACGACUUUUGGCUCACGUAUGCAUACGAGAAUGAAACUUCUGUACAUUUUAAUCUGAUUAAUUCCUAAGGAUUUAAAAUUAAUUGGCUUGGGCACUCCUAGACCGGACUAUAAGAUUUCUGCGUCAGGGUUCCUGCCAGCCCUGUGCCGAAUAGGUAUUUUUAAGGGAUAUUGGUCAGGGAUGGGGGGUGGGGGGGGAAUCCUGUUUUGUGAUUUUUUUUUUUUUUUUUUUAAACGAGGAACCGUGCCUCGCAUGCGGCUGUCAGAGCAAAACACUUUUGCUGCUUAAACUCAGAUCUGCGCCUUUUGCCGUAAUAAAGAAAGGAUAAAUAAUUGCCAUAAAGCCUCCGCCGCGCCGCCAACCACACCUUCGGAGGAGAUGAACAAGACAGUGUGCUUAUGGGGACCAAACACGUUAGAACACAGUUGAUGGAUCUGGAGCUCUGACUGCUGGCCAGCAAUGGCUCAGCAUGGACUGCUCUCAUCCUGGCUGCUCUUCAACAGUACUUUGAGCUGCAUGAAGACCUAAGAACCAAGCCAACAGCAAGAGCAUCACCAAGAAUCUGAGAAUCAAGCCCGCACCAAGAGCAUGGCCCAGUGUUUACUCCUCUUCCAGAUCAUACCUGAAACAUGGUGUGAAGUUUCAUUCUAUUCUUCUGCAGGUAUACCAGUUUAAUGCAAUUAAUCAAGAUAGUAGGGAUUAAACAGUAACUCACAGCUGAACGCGACAAUGUUAUCAAUUCUAUGGUGCAAAAGGGCUGGAAGAAAAUGACUGCAGUGACUAGAAGCACUGUGGGCAAGAACAAGCUGACUGGAGUUUUGGGUUCCUGAUGCCAAAGGUCUGACCUUACAAUGAGCAGCACACGGGGUGAGAUCGGGCACUGCACUGAGCUUCACACACAGCUAUUUUGGUAACCAGAACUGUGUAGUCAGGAUAGUACAAGCACAAGCACAGUGAAGGAUUUAUCAACGUGUUAACUCUAUCAGUGCUGUGUUCCUGUACAGGUUCCUGUGUCUAUUUCAGAUCAUAAACUCAGGCUUGCAGAAAUCUUUGUCUGCAGGAGAGGCUCAGCCUGGCUUACUACCACCCCACUGCCCUUGUUAAUGCACAUACUUCCAGCCCUGAUGCACUGGGACCACCACUGCCGGUGUGAACCAUGAAACAUUCAGAAGUUGCAUUUAUCAUCUGAUGCUACUACAUCAUCGUAGUCCAUCCUGUUUCUCUUCUAUCUUCUCCUUAAUUUAAUAGCCAAUUUCCAGCAAGAUCUUGUUGCCUAGAUCCUGCCAACAACCAGGGAACAAGCUCAAGCCAGCAGAGAAAAUGAACAACCAGAAGUACCAGGAUUGUGCCAUCCUAUCCUCUGCUGUCAGGUUGGGGUCCCAACCACCAUUUGGAGAAGCAACUUCCAUGGAGAUGUGAACAGAACAGAAUAUGAAUACAAUUCUGCGUGCACCUCACUCUGGGCUGAGAUCACACGUUGAGCGAUGCAACGACAAACCGGUUUCCUCACGCUACAGCUGAAUGUCACAUAGCUGCCCUGGGUACGGGUCAGUGCUGUCAGUGCUCUGCCACAUCCCUGCUCCUCUAGGAGCAUAGUGCCAACACAACCCUUUUCCCAUCCCAUCACUACUGCCCACCUUCUGACUGCUGCAGGCUUGGCAGGAGUAAACAAACCUAUUCCUUCCUAUCUGCAGCACUGUUCAGCCAGGAAAAAGCCAUGGGACUUUACUUGCAAGGGAAAGUUUAACCAAACCAUCACUUCUGCCAAAAGAAUGAGGAAUUCCUUGAGGUAGGCUUCGCUGGAUGCAAGUAAUUCUUCCCAGGCUAAAGCAGGGUUAUAGCUAAUACAUCUGAGUCACAAUGUGGAUUUGCACUUCACCUGUUAAACAUAACUAGUUUUGUCCAAAAUACAGAUUCUGUUCCUAACAUCACUUAAAUCUUCACAACUUCUACAUGAGCUGUAGGUGCGACAAGCUAAGUGAUUGAGACUUCUCUCACAGUCAGCAGGAGAGCAACAUGUAAAAUACCUGUUUUUCAGAGGUGAGGUCACCAUUGGCACAUCUGCUUUGCUGAAUAAAACACCAGAGAUUUGCAAGACUCUAAUGUUCAUAAAUUGAGUUGAGUUCACUGGGCUGGCACAAGAUAUCAUUUGAUCUACUCAUUUAAUAGCAGGUCAGCGUUUACUCUCUAUACAAAAUAUUUGCUCUUUUACAACAGGCAGCAUCUCAGCAGUCCUCAUAUGUGGGUACUUGUAUAUUAAUAAAGGAGAAAAAGCUAAGAGAACUUACAAGAGAACUCAGGAUACCAACAGGUCAAAAAAGAGCCUAAAUACAUUAAGUAGCUUCAGAAAAAUGCUAAUGUUCAAUAUUCCCCUGCUUAGACUGCACAGCUGUUGAGAUGAGAAUGCCUGAGCAGAGCUUCCAGAGGAACAUCCCUGAAGCCUUGCACAGAGCCAUCCACAUUUGGCUUUGAUGAUUUCAGGUAUUUCUACUACUCAGAAAAAAAUCUUCUGAUUGUAACACGUUUGCACUUGAUGCCUCAGAUAGUGGUUCUUGCUCUAUGACCUCUUACUACACAGUACUUUCUGCCUUAUACAACAUACAUGAGAUAAGUGCUAGUCAUAUGUAUCCUAAUUCUUUCUUGAUUUCAUCUGAUCUAGAAAUACCUUUUAGAUAACUGCAAUAAAGAUUUCCAAAGGCUUCUUUUGUGUGCACAUCUUCAUCUAUUGCGUUUGGCCCUUUAAUGUCAUCAUGAUUCUUACAGGAUACUUGCAACACAUGCAUCCAAACAUCAUUCACUGUUAUGCAUUGUGCUUCCUCCCCCCUCCUCCCCAUUGAUUAUUCCUAAAGUUUUUUUGGGGGAUAGCAGAAGCAAAAUUGAUCAUAAUAAUGCAAGUAAUAAUGCAGGGAACAAAUGACCAGCAAUAUAACUGUUUAAAUGGAAUUUAGACCUUCCAUUCCCAGAGCAACUCGAUUUGAAUUAAAAAACAAAUGAUUUCAAAGGUCCAUUUAAUACUGGGAAAGCUAUGAGCAGUAUGCAUAGGUCAGAGCACAUUUCAUCUACAUCCAAGAUCCCAGCCAUGAGAUUACAUAUCUCAAAACAGACACCUCCUUAAAGAGGCUGUUUAAAUAAUAAAACUUCUUGUAAUAAUCAGAAGAGAUGCACUGAGGAGAGGAAGCACCUGCUUCGCAAUGAAAAGUUUGAUUUUGGAAGAGGCUCAUUAGGUUAAAGGAACUGCACUGUAGCAGACAGCAUGGUUUAUAUGAAUCUUCAUGGAAGUGACUAUUUAAUUAAGAGGUAGACAUCUCAGUUUUCCCCUGAAACUUACACUAGAAAUUCAGUACAAAGGUUUGCUGCAUUUUAUCAGGUUGACUUCAUUACCUUCAGGAAUAAUAGAAAUUGCAUUUGUUUCUCUGGGCUGUGGAAUACAGGGAAACCCAUGAAAAGAAAGAGGAAAAAGAAGAAAUGCUGAUUUUCUUUGGAUGAAAUAAAAAAAAAUAGGGCUUUGAGAACAUUUGAGUAUAGUAUGCUCUGGAUUUUUAAGAGAAGCUCAAAGAAACAUUUUCUAAAUGCAUAUCUGUUAGUUUAUUUUCAUUUUGUGUUGCCACGUAUAAUUAUGAGAAACUUACAGAAAACCCAUAAGACUUUCAUUCUGUUAGAAGUGCCUUUUCCAAGAUUAUACUGUAGGCUAUUACUUCAGCCCGCUGGGUAUCAUGUGUAGGCAAGGUGUAAGAUUAUGCACAUGAAUAUUUCUGUCUACCACUUCUGUGUGCUGAGACAAUACCAACUCACACUUUCUUCUGUCAUUGGUCCUUAUUCCAUCGAGGAUAUUCUUAAUUACCAGCAAGACAAUUGGGUAAUAUCAUAUAAAGCAUCACAGCAUCAUUCCUGUGAUGAUUUACACCUGCUAAGAGCCUGAUUAUUGAAUUUUAAACCAUAUAGUAAGCUCAGAAGGUAGACAAUAUUUUUCUAUAGGACACUGUUUCUAUUUUUAAUAUAACUACUCUCCUUUUUCCAAUUCAUUGGCACAAUUCUCUUAAAAGAAAGAAUUUUUGUACACACAGACACCAUUUCUGAACAUCUGAGCUGCCUUGAAAAACUCAGAGCACUCCUAUAGUAGUUUAAAUCAACUCAAGUCUAAACACUGAAACACUGAAUUUGACAACGUGCACGAGGGUCAUGGGGAGCACAUCUCUUCUUGGGGAUUCUAAAGAAUGCAAAUAAAAAUACAGAAAUAAAAACAAGCUCACUGCGUUCCUUGCUCCACUUUGAGAUUAUAUGUGGUUUUAUAUGGUUUUUAUUUGUAUUUAUAUAUGUAUUUAUGCACAACCCUUGCAGGAUUAUUCCAAAAUUUUUGGGAAUGAUGGAAAUUCUGUUGAUUCCAGUCUCUGCUUUCCAUUAUGGAAGACAUUUGUGCAACAAGUUUGCUGAGGAUGGAACACUAAUGAAAUGGGUAAUUUUAUAAACGCACUGGGCAGGGUAAGUGUCCAACAGAAAAGAAGUCACACAGAUGCAGAAAUUAGUCUGCUUGAAACAAAUAAACCAAGGAAUGCCUGCUAAAGAGUCAUGAAUUUCUUUGUAACGGUGACUGCACAUGGAACACCUUUUUUCCUAAAUCACCUACAGAAACUCUGCAGCUGAAGGUGUUUUGAUAGCAGUUAUGAUCAGAACACCACCACUUCUCAUACGUGAAAUACAACGCUGGGAAGGAUUUUUUCACUCCUCAAAUCACUCUUCUGAGGCUUUAUAUCAAUCUCAAGCAAUUUGCCUAGCCAUUUCUAUGAUAAAAUAGGUGUUUUUAUCCAUUUAGAAGAGCAAUAAAACUAAGGAAAAUUCAGGCAGAACACGCUCUUUCUUUAAAGCUUCAACUCAGAUAGUAAGAAUCUCGUUUUUGCCGUACUUCUCUCAUGAACUCAACUUUCCAUAGUGCAUUAAGUGUUGUAAUAAUGCAAAUCAAAUACAAAUUUUAAUAACUCCUUCCAUUAAAAUGAUCUAUUAAAGUUUUAAGAGUCCAACACUUAUGAGCAUUAUUCUAAUUGCAUGAUUUUGCUCGGGGCAGGUUUUACAGAUCUGCCUGAUCAUUGGAUAUUUGCGCAUUUAGGAUUAUUUUAAAUUAAUUUUUGGAAGAGUUUCAGUCUCAGUAGCAACAGUUGUUUAAUAGCUGUCUUGUGAGUAACUACGCAUCUGCUUCCACAUGAGAAAAAAACUACAUACAUUUAGAACUCUGGGAAAGGAGGUGGCAGAGGUUUACAGAAUGACAAGCAAUAUGAAGAACAUUCUGAAGAUGUUUGCUCACUUUAGUACAAGGAGCAAAAGAGGGUUAAAUUAAAAAAAUAAUAAUAUAUAUUUGUUAAGCAAUACAGUUAAGUUGUGGUACUCUCCCACAGAACAUUAAAAAUAUAUAACUGUAUUAAGAAAAGCUUUAGAAUUCAAUCAGUGCAGCUCCUUUGAUACCAUUAACCUUUCUGGUUUCAUGCGACUUGUAGGAUGGAUUUCUAGUAGAAGGAUGUGCAGUGGAACUCACACACUGGCUAAGAAAGCAAGGAAGCUUUGCAAACCUUCUAACAUUUUUAUGUUAACAGAAAUAAUUCAGAUCAGUACUGGGGGACAAAGUUCUGUAAUUCCUCCUCAGAAUCCAUCCCAAACAAAACAACUGUGAAAUACUGGAUGAUGUAUAUGGACUGUGUCUGGGGUUUUCCAUGAAAACUUUGUGUGGGAUAAUAAUGCCAAACAGGUAAAAAGGGUUGGAGUGAACAAAUCAGUUUUCAAGAGGCUUCCCAACUAAAAACAAGUUAAAUAGAUUUCAAAAUAAUGGAAAGUGUCUCAAUAGAUACUCUUCUAAAUUAUCACUGGCUUUGAAAUAUGCUUUGGUUUAAAAUUUUAAUUUCUAUAUGAAAGCAAAAAAAAAAAAAGAAAUAUUUUGAGAUUACUGAAGAAAAUAAUUUGGUGCUUAUUCCUUUCCUUUUAAAUGUGUUAGUUAGUCACAGAAUUAGUUGAAAACAAUGAAAUCUUAAGAACUCCCAAAGCAUAGGAUGAAGUAUUCUCUACUAGCUACACAAUGAGAGAAAAAUCUUAUGUCACUUUCAUUAGCGUACAGAUUUAGUGAAAUACUCACAUUCCCAUAGAGGUUGCACAUACUGGAACUCAGGGUUUGGGUUUCUUUCCAAGUGUGAUGCUUACACACGGUAAGUGAUAACUCUUUUUUUAUUAGACACUGUCAUCUACAUUUCUACAGAAAUACCUGGAGGUAUUCCAGCCUCCACAUGGCUGAUAGCCUUUUUUCCCUUAUGGAAUAGAAUCCUAGAAUCCUUUGAAUUGGAAGGGGCCCUUAAAGGUCAUCUAGCCCAACUCACAUGCAAUGAACACGGACAUCUGCAACUCGAUCAGGGGGCCCUGAGCCCAGUCCAGCCUGACCCUGAGUGCCUCUAAGGACAGGGCAUCAUUUUUCUUACACUGUCACAAACAGGACAGGAAGUCUGAGCAGGGUAUUUCAGCCACUUUUAGUUCACAGACUAAUGUGUUAAGACAAAAAUGGUGAUUAACUCUUAAGUAAUUUAGAAGUGGGCUAUCUAAGGUGAAAGAGCCCUAGAUGCCAGGAAGGGUUAGGCUUCGGGCAGGGGACAAGGCAGACAACACAGGGAUGGUGUGCAGUGAUAAUGGUGUGGGGCAGGAACAUCCCAAGAUGUCUGCUCAAUUUGUCAGGAAUUUCUCCUCUGAACUACUACCUCCAGAUCUCUCCACAACACCCUCAGUCCUUUUAUCUCUGAGCUAUCUCCAAGUUUACUGCCUGCCUAUCACCUUGGCUGAACUACACUAAUAGUGAACUAAUUACAUAUGAACGCUCUAAUUUGCUUUAUGUCUUUCUCAAAAACCACACGUGUGCAGGCAUGCACACAAGUAAACUUUUGCUCACGCUAUAAAAUUGCAGCGCGAUGUAGAAUCAGUUCACCAGCCCAAACAUUACAAAACAUCGCAUGCUCACUGCCCAUCUACUGCUUGUCCCUGCCAGGCCACCACCAGUGCUUGUCAUUCCUGAUCUGCAACAUCACCUGCUGCUCCAGACCAGAAAAGGGAGCAAAGAAGAGAAAUACGUGUUUGUCAUUGAACUGAACUGAGAAGAAGGAAGACGAGAACGAUAAGAUCAUUGCCUGCAGCACUUUGUUUAUGAGAACAUCCUUCCAGUGAUAUAUGCCUGCACCAGGUGAAAGUAUUGUGUCACCCCUAACAUAUUUUAAAUGCCAGGGCUGUCAUGCAAGAAGACAAUGAUGAACAAGUUUAAACAGAAUAUGGUAUUGUAGCCGUGUGCAGUGUUACCUUUUAAAGGUUUGCAUCAGUAGCAUUUCUUAACAGAACAUUUAUGAACUGUUACAUUCCCCUACAGAACCUCUUUCAUACUCUCAAUGAAAUUAUUUCUAUUGUAGAUGAAGUAUGUAGAACAUAAUACAUAUAUUAAACAAAUUAGGCCACUUUCUCAUGCAAGUUUUUCAGGCUAUUUCACAUGACCUCCCAGUCAUACUAUUUGAUCUUCUCUUAAUUCCUUGGAUAACAAGUUAGGGACUACACCUCUCUUGGCAAAUAGGUCAAUAAAGGGACAUCCACAUUGCUCCAAGCGCAGGAGCCUGCCCCAGGUCAGAGGUUUGUUUGGUUGAGCUCUGGUGUGUGCCCAUUAACUAGCUGCUGGAACUCCCAGACUGCAUUACCUAGUUUAAUUUCACACAAAAGGACUCGCAUGCUGUGGAGCACAGAACGCAGGGUCAGCUGGAGAAUUCACUUAAAAUACACUCCUGUCCCAAAAUGAAACACUACUUGAGAAACACCUCUUGCCACAAAGCAGGUAUGCACAGAAUUAUUGGCAUAUGGCAGUUUUCUUCCCAGAUAAUUAUCUCAAGCUUAACUGCAUGAACACCAUCACUGUGCUACAAGGCCAUUGCACAACAUGACUAUUUUCCCAGACUGACAGUUCAGAGAGUCUUGGGAACACCAGCAUCCAGCACAUGAUACUGAACACACACACAACCAUAUCCACCUCAGAUUCAGAUGAAAGAGCUUUAACCACCUAUGUCUCAUGGAAGGAAGGCAACCAUGACAAAGUUUUCCAUUUUUGAGGUCAGAGCCAUUCUGUGAACAUCCAAGACAGCAUUAAUUUACAGGAGAGGAAAGGGCAUUCCUGAUUGCCUGAAAAAUGCCCACAGAGCUAGGAUUCCUUAAACACUGACUGAGGGGGUCCUGUGUGGACUUGUGUAACCUGUUCAACACCGCCCCAUCAGUUUUCUUCCCUGCAGAAUGGAGACACCUGAUUUUUUACUCACAAGGUUAUUAGGAGGACUUUCCAAUUAAAGUUCUUUACAAAUGAAAGUGUCUUGUGAACAGUAUUUAAUCACCUGGCUAAAAACAGUCUCCAAUUUCUUUAGGCAGAACCUCAGUUUUCAUAGGGACUGGUCAAGGUGUUCGGUUUACGUAAGGCUGCAGGAUCUUAUGCUGCAUCUUUAAGACAUAGUUUACUUCUGAAUCAGUAAAUGUACUAGACAAAGCAGCCAUUAUUUAUGCAUUCCUGCAUACAUGGCAAGGUGAAAAUAAUAGAAUAAACAUCAUAUACUUCAUUAUGAUAUCGGUUUACACUUCCAGGGUACACAAAAAGAGGCCAUUUCAUCAAGCUAAUUGCCUGAAAGUAAAAGAGAGAACUUUAGCUAUUAGUCUAUUAUGGGGCUUUUUUCUUAAUCACAAAUAGGGGCCGUGUGUCCCCAGGGGGAUGUGUAUUCUAAUUUACAAUUGAACUACAGAUCAGAGCAAUCAAUCUUGUGCAGCACUUUUACAGUGUAAUUGCUGCAACAUAACAAAUAAAAAAAGCAGCCUAAGUCGAGUUUCAGCUUGAGGUGGAGAUAUUUACCAGGCAUUGGGUCGGGGUGGGAGGGAGGCAGAGAGGCACCACAGCCAUGAAUAUGCAAUGAGGGCUCAUUAGUGCCCCAGUGUUGCCAUGACGAAUGGCAUUAUCCCCAGCCUGGUGCAGCCUAAACAUGAAUUUUAUAACGACCCAUUUAUCAUGACUUGUCAUGGGGUUCUUUACUGUACUUUCUACUGGCUCUCACACCUUCCUCCAUUAUCACCUCAGAAUUCCUUUUGUUAUUUUGUCUUAUUCUGGUUUAGUUUUUGGUAAUGAAGCCCAACUUAGAAGAUGACUGCAAACAGCAGUGUGCUGAUGUGCCAGAGCAACUUAAGGCUUCCUCAGCUGGAGAUCCAAUGCCAAACGCGUAGGUGGUCUUCAGUCCACUUACCAGGGGAUAAGCAUCCUCGUUGUCACAAAUAUCUGCAAUCUUGUCAGUUGACUCAGCAGAAAGGUCUUAGAUUGACCGAGCAUCAAGACAACUAUCUUUCCAUUCUGGCAGAUGUGAUGGAUGAAUCUGUUUUGUUGACCUAGGCCUGUCUAAAAGUGCUCUUCCUCAGCCCACGCCAGCGAUUUGUACAGUGUAAAAACUCACCCCUUGCCUCUACACUGAUAAAGCUACCGAGCCAGGUAAGUAGACAAAAACUGCAUUCUGCCUAACUCCUGUUAAACUGGAAAAAAAAAAAAAUACUAGAUGCAAAACUGAAGUGACAGAAAAAGCAUUAACUUGCCAGGAGCAAGAGGUAAUAACCAACUCCAUAGGAAAACAAAAUUACCAAUAAGUAAUUAGUGUGUCUGGCUUGAGCUCAUUUUUGGUCACUGCACGUUGUCUGUUUUACUGCUGUCCCUUUGGCCUACCCGAUUCCACAUUUAAUAUACCACUGCUUAUAAAGAAAUCCCUGCGGCUCAGGAGGCUGAAUUGCCAUGCUGGGGUAGGGCCUGCUCGCUGGUAUAUAGAAGCUUUCAUUUCCCAAGUUACAAAUCUGACAUCUCAUGGCCAAAUCCAUGCCAGUUUAUUUCUGGGAAGUCUGUCCUCAUUAUUUACCCCAAAUAGUUUCACUGUCAGUAUGCCUUUUUUUCCCAGUAUGAAGUGGCUGCAGCAUCUGAAAGUAUCAAGCCUCUCUUUGUUGGAUUUUACACUUUUGCUAUUACAAGAAUUUGUCUUUGGGGACAGAAAAAUCAAGCAACUUAUUUCCAGCUAUUACUUGGAUAGGACUUCAUGUUCUUAAACAAGUUGUGAGCUCCCAUGAUCUCUGAAAACAACUCUCCCGAGGUCUCACAUCAGGAUAGUCCUACAGUUCUUUCAUUACUCUACUGGAUGUUUGAAAAUAUUAAAAGGCAUCGAACAUCCCAGUCCAGCAAUUUAUAGACUCAGAGUCUGGUGCUGUAGCCCUCAAAGCCUCUAUUUCUUCCACAAAAUCUGCACUUUGCUAUUAUCGUCACCAAGACAGGCAUGUGUUUCACUAGAGAAGCAGUUUGUCAAAGCAACAGUCCAUUACCCAGAGAUUCAUCACAGGUUCUCACUUCAGCACACAAUAGGAGAGAGCCUGCAUGCCAGAACAUGAGGGGGAAGGGAAGCUUCCUUGCAAUGAGGUGCAUGAGGUAUGUGGCACACUGAUUUAAAGUCAGGCAUAGCUGAUCAGGGCAGCAAAUGCUGAGGUGUUCAUGCCAUCUUUUUUUUUUGCCUGCCCGUAAGGUCAGACUGCCAUACCUGACUGCACUGCCACUAUCUGCAGCUUAUAAGAUGCAGUAAGCAGAUGGCCACUUUAGUUGAACUUUGUGAUUCGUAGUCCCACACAGUGAGUUUUUUCUAUUACUUUAUAGCAAUAGCUGGUGGUCCUUCAGGGAAACAUGCUCAUCUUUCUCCCACUCAUCAAAAAGACAGACAUUGAAACAAAGAUUAUUAAAGGCCAGCCAAUGCAGAUGACAUCUAGAUCUAUGUCAGUGUAACACCCAGUGCCACUACAAUCACAUUGUAGAUUUCUAGGUUGAGAUCAGCAGCCAUAUGGAGGGCAGCUGCCUGAGACAGAAAAGCAUUUACUGUUCCUCAGUCAAUCUACAAAUGGCAAUAAUUAAAAUAAAAUUCCAAUCCUCAAAAUAUUAAGUCCUUGGUUCUCAACCAACAGGCCUCAGACUAUAAGAAACACCCAAAUUUUGGGUGGAAAAAAAGUCUGUCACAUGAAUCCAGAUCCCAAUAUAAAUAUCAAAUGAGAUCUUUUGAAGAGAAAUUAUAAAAAGGCAAUAUUUUAAAAUGGAAGAUAAGCACAUAGCGUGGGACUAAUUGUUUAUCCAGAAUUCAAGGGAAGCUUAAUGACUGACUGCAUAGAAUCAGAAGCUGACUGAGAGCAAACCCACUGGAAAGUAUUGCACCAAAUGUACAUUUUAAUGCAAUCAAAUCCUACCCACAAAAAUAUGCAUACUUACAUCAACAGUUUGCUACAUUUACAGAUAGAAUUCUUAGGACACAAGAAAAUAUGGAAAAGAACUGCAGGUGUAAUUACUGUAUAAUGGUGUUCAGUAUCUGUUCAAUUGCUGUAUUUACAACAGAAAAAGCAGAUACUAUUUCUCCAUAUAAAGUAGCAUACUUUAAAGGCAUUUGAUAAAAUGCAUGCUUGGAAUGAGUUUUGUAUUCAGUAAUUUGAACACCUAGACAGUGCCAGGAACACAUCCCACCUUGCCUGCAAAGACUACCAGUUAUACUACAUAAAGCAGCCUUUUUUUAGGCUAUUUCUUUCUGUGGAGAAAUCCCUCCCUCCCUUCUUAAUUGUAUUUCAAAAGUGGCCUAAUAAUGUUUUCCUCACUGUUCCCCCUCCAAGGCUUAGCUUUAGGCAUCCUAAUAAAUGAACAAUCUUUUCCCUGGUUCUAUUUCAGUUUUGGCUUUAAGCACUGUCUUUCCUUAUCUGGAGCCAAUGGCUCUCUGCUUUCCACUUUUAAACAAACAAACAAAACGUCCUUCUCCACUGUCCUCCUCUUAUCCCUCCACUUUCUUUAAUGACAUCUUCAGUCAUUAAUGAGUUAAUAAAAAUCUCAAAGUCAUCUGGGAAUAGAUAAGGGGAAAGAAAGAGGAGUAUUGUACACAUAAUGACAGGCUCCCUGCUGGCCCUAAGAUGUCAUGGGUCAGCCAUGUUAAGAAUGUGUGUGCCCAAUCAUCUGCUGAUUUUUAUCAGCAAGGCCUCAAGCAGAAUCUGACACGGCCAGUUUGGGAGUUACAAUGAAUAAACAAUGACUUCUUGGAUUGUUGGCGGCUGUAUGAUAGAGUGAGAGGGUUUAUAUAUACUAAAACAUGAUGACAUUAGCAAUCAAUAUACCAAUUACUGGACAAGUUAUUGGACGAAGAAUGCACAUGUCUUGAGCUUUGUGCACUUUGAACAUGCUACCAGUGAUGGAGACCACAGAAAUAAUGGUGCUUAACCCUUCCCAAGCUAGAUAUGCUAUUUCUUGACAAUGCCUUCAAGUUUGAUUGCAUGGUGAGAGAAACAACAAACCACUGGUCUGAUUCAGCAUAUUAAGUCUUCCAGAUAGAAGACAUAAGCUUGACAAAUUUAUUUUUCAUUAGGACUUAACGAAAGGAAUAGAUUUUUCAAGUGAGCAUUUGGAUGCUUGAACAACAGAUAAUUUAAAUUGUUCCCCAUAAAAUUUCAGAGGAAAUCGAUUUCUUUUCACCCAAGCACCACAAGCAUACCACAAACUUCAUCACUGAGAAGUUAGAACACAUUUUUAUAGGAUCAUUUAGACAAAUACCCCAACAUGCUUCACUUGCUUAUUCCACAAUAGAGGAAGGAAGAUAGAACUCUAAGAUACUUCUUUUAUUCUUGUGCUACCAGAAAUACAUUUCUGCAUCUGUUCAGUUUCAUCUCCUUGCUCUCUUUAGAAAGCUCAAAACAUUCAGUGUUUACAAGUUUAUCUUCUUUUAUUCUGGAAAUGAUUGUGAAGAUUCAAUGUCAGCUUUAUAAUUGAAACCAGAAUGAAAUGUGGUUAAGUCAAUCACCUCAUUCAAAGCACAAAUGCAGAAGACAAUUGACAUGGAGACCAAAGAAGAGGACAGAGCUGCCACAUCUGGGGUGCAGCAGAAGCACUGGACUGAGUGGUAUCAUUUCUCCAUUCAGACAAGUAUACAUUCCAAUAGAAAGCUCACGGGCUUUGCCUUCAGAUGAAUCAUUAAAAUUAUGUGGGAAAGAUUAAGAUGAUUCUCCUUUUCUGCAUUAUGAAUGACAUCUUUUACUGAGAUCUGGGAAACAGCUGAGAAAGCAGCAAUGCCACAUGCAUUUGGACUUUUGCUCAGGUGAGGCAAACAAGACAAGGCAUAAAUAUACAAUGACUUUGUCUCCUAGGGAAUCAGACAACAAUAGAAAUUGUGCAAGAAAGCCCAAAACAGUACGUAUUUUGUGUAGAUUAGAAGCUGAAUAAAAUCUUAAGAUGCAUCUCUUACAGACUGCUCUUGUGAUGCAAAAGCUAAAGCGUUGGUCUAAAUUACAAUCAUAUCUGCUCCAGCUUCUGAGCACUAAGCAUCUCUCAGAGCUGUGUUGGACAGUAAUGGCAGAGGGAUCACUCCCAGACAUAGGGGAAAAAAUAGAUGAGACCACAUCUGGUUUUAACUGCAGCAGUUAUGAAAUGCUCAGCUGCAUCCUCUCAAAUGGCUCUUCCCAUUAAGUUUGUGAAAAGUUUGGAAGUGAAUUUGUCCAGCAUGUCUGAUAUGAAUAACAAAAUGGUUUUAAAUGUAAAUGUUUCAUAAAAUAGCACCAUUAUCAUACAUUACAGUGAGUACAGUUGAAAAAACUCAAUCCCUCCUCCGUAAUUUACAAUUAACUUUUUGCCUCAAGGUAACAGCUACAUUCACAAAAAAUAAUGGUAAUAGAUUGACCUUGUUAUGAAUGGAUAACAAGCUGGAAACAAUAUAGUUUGUCACAGAGCAUUAACUGUUACUGUUGAAAUUGUAAAUAAUGCGUAUAGAACAUACAAUGUAAAUGGCUCCCCUUAAAAAUAUUAAUUAUGUCGAUUAAACACUUGAUGUAUAAUGGAUUACUUUGGAAUCUACUUAAGUCCAUGUCAGACUGAAUACACCAUUGCCUAAGAUCCUUUUCUGCCCUGACUGCUCACUGUGGACCUAGCAUUUACAU